UUACCCUGUUUUAUGACCCUGAGAGUCCUUAUUGCUCUCAAAUUCUCUCAUUAUGUAUCUCACUUCUUGAAUAGUGUCUAUCUCCUUUGUGAGAGCAGGAUUUAAAUUGUUCACCUGCAUUAUCCCCAGGGCUUAGCACAGUGGCUCAUAGUAGAUGGUCAGUAAAUAUUUGUUGAAUGACUGAAAGGUGUCAGAGGCAAUUCCGGUCUAGAAGAGGAAAUCCUGAUUAGAGGACUCAGAAUGUUGUUAUCUUGACCCUGUUACGGCAGAGAAGGACCCUGAACAAGACAGGCCAAGACCCAGACUGAAAUGUAACCAUCAGAAUGGAUAAGUGUACCUGCAGCGACUGAGAGAUGGCCCAGCCCUGCAGCCAAGUCAAGAGCCAAAAGACACCACACAACAGCAGGUCGUGUCCUGGUGCUCUUGACAUUUCUCCAGCCAAACUUGUAAGCAGCCUUUUUCUGCAUCAGAUCACUUGUCACCAUGGUCGUCGUCGUCAUCGUCAUCAUCAUCAUCAUCAAAAGGCAGGAUUGAGCCACCAAAACUACAGUCUGGCAUCCUACGUAUCUCCCAAGGCAAUUUCAGAAAGAACAAUCGACUUUGGUUACACAGAAAAUGGCUAGUGAGGGCAUCGUGGAGUCAACCAACCUGGGUGCAGACCUCAACAGGAUCAUGUACUAAUCAAGUGCUCUUAGGAUCAAGAAGGCCUCCACACUUCCUAGGCUGAUGUCAUGAAGGGCCGUCAGCUUUCCCAUAUGACGCCCCUCUGUAUCCCUGUCACAGGUAACUGCGUGGGUUGGGUGCACCAUGGGACCAGCCCAAAUUGCUAGGGAAGAGCACCCACAAGGGAAUUGGGAAACCUGAGUGGAAGGCCUGUCCCUGUGUGAUCUUGUCACUUUCCCUCUCCAAGCCUCGGUUUCCUAUCUGUUAAAUGAGCACAUUGGAUUAGAGAUCUUUAAGGUCUCUUCCAUCUCUGAACAUUCUCGGGUUCUCACAUCCAAAGGGAGACAGUCAAGAUGCAAAAAGUAAAACCUAGGUACUCAGCUCAGUGUCUGGGGUGCAGUUGAAGGAGACAUCUUGCAGGCUCCUAAGUUCCAGGGCUCUAACCCUGGACCCUUGGCCUAGAAGAGACCACAAGGCCAGCUGUCCAGCCUGCCAUCUCCCGCUGAGCACACUCCCCACCUCCCCACCCCCCAGGCUAGAAAUUGCCCCCUAGAGCAGAGAGUGGUGUUAAACAGCUUGGGCUUUGAAUCCACAUUGAAGUUCUGACCCUGUCACAGAGAACUCAGGAUAGUGAGAGAGACAAGUGGUUGGGCUCAAGGCUCAAAGACUGAAGCUCAGAUCCAUGCGCCUCUGGGCAAGUUAUUUAAUCUCUCUAACUUUGGUCUCCUUAUCUAUUGAAUAGGAAUGAUAAUAAUAGUCCAAAUUGCAUAGGGCUGCUGUGAAGAUCAGAUAAGAUAGUGCCUGUAAAGCACCUAACCCAGGCUCUUGGUUUAGUCAAAAUGUAGAAGUUGUUGUUGUUGUUGUUGUUAUUAUUAUUAUUAUUGCCUACUCAUUGGAAGCUUUUCUUGAUGUUCAUGUGAACCAGGAAA
Long non-coding RNA from Panthera uncia (snow leopard), 1592 nucleotides. RefSeq lists it as uncharacterized. Lineage: Eukaryota; Metazoa; Chordata; Mammalia; Carnivora; Felidae. The transcript has 4 exons. The record is from RefSeq and is a predicted model, not a curated record.